Molecule: ribosomal RNA, 610 nt
Filed under: Oxyrrhis marina
Lineage: Eukaryota; Dinophyceae; Oxyrrhinales; Oxyrrhinaceae
Description: partial Bacterial large subunit ribosomal RNA
Rfam family: Bacterial large subunit ribosomal RNA
Source: RNAcentral
GGUGGAUAUCUUGGCAGUAAGAGGCGACGAAGGACGCGUAUUAGACUGCGAAAUGCUUCGGGGAGCCGUCAAAUAGGCUUUGAUCCGGAGGUGUCCGAAUGGGGAAACCCUGCUACUGGAGACAGUAGUAACGGCAUGGUGAGUAAAGUAGCCAUGUGCGAGCGAACCGAGGGAACUGAAACAUCUAAGUACCUCGAGGAAGAUAAAUCAACCGAGAUUCCGCUAGUAGCGGCGAGCGAACGCGGACUAGGCCAAACCAGUAUGCUUGCAUGCUGGGGUUGUAGGACUUACAUCAAGGGGAAACUGGUAAGGGAACGAUCUGGGAAGGUCGACCAUAGAGAGUGAAAGUCUCGUACUUAAAACUGGUAGAACUGGGUAAGUAUCCUGAGUAGGACGGGACACGAGAAAUCUUGUCUGAAUCUGGGGGGACCACCCUCCAAGCCUAAAUACUCGUACAUGACCGAUAGCGAACUAAGUACCGUGAGGGAAAGGUGAAAAGCCCCCCGACGAGGGGAGUGAAACAGUACCUGAAACCGAACGCCUACAAUCAGUCGGAGCUCCCUUGAGGAGUGACGGCGUACCUUUUGUAUAAUGGGUCAUCGACUUGGUC